GAACUGUUAAGAAAUGGCUUAAAAUUGGUAGUGGAUUGUUGUUGUUGGUAGUGGGUUGUUGGUGGUAGUGGAUUAGUGGAUGGUUGUUGGUGUCCAUUUUCAACCACAAAUCUUUGCCAAAGUUUUGGACAAUUAUGUCCUUGAACUCUCUUAUAAAUAGAGAGGUUCAUUAGCCAUAUUAAUCAUCCCAAACCAAGAGAGAGCAAAGCUUGUUCUUUGAAAGCUAGGAUUUUAGCUUUCGGGUUUUCUAUAGGGGUUGAGAGUUGUGAGGUUCUCGGGUUGUGUCUUGAGUGUAAAACACUUGUAAUCUUCAUCUUGUUAUAGUGAAAUUUCUUUUCGCCUCUGCCCGUGGACGUAGGCAUUAAAGCCGAACCACGUAAAUCCUUGUGUUCACUUUAUUUUUCGUUUCGGUCAAUUUACUUGUAGUCAUAUCGGAGUUCUCGAAUCGAUCCUUUCCGCAACAAAUUGGUAUCAGAGCGUAGUUGAAGGAGUGAUAAUAUUUUCUGAAUUGCCCUGUGACUGCAGCUUUGUCUGAUCUUUCACAUCAGGAAGAAAAUAUUAUCAUUCAUUCAAAGGUUCCAAAUUAUGGCUACAAGUGUUUCAUCGACUAAGUAUGAUGUCGAGAAAUUUACCGGGAAAAAUAGUUUCAGUUUAUGGCGCAUCAAGAUGCGGGCAGUGCUGGUUCAACAAGGAUUGCUAAAAGCAUUGUCUGGUAAAGAUAAAUUACCAAGCACGCUUUCGGAAGAGCAAAAGGAUGACAUGCUAGAAAGAGCACAUAGUGCUAUUCUGCUAUGUCUAGGAGAUGAAGUGCUACGAGAAGUAGCGGAUGAGAAAACCGCGUCCGGUUUGUGGCUCCGGUUAGAGAGCAAGUACAUGACGAAGUCAUUGACGAACCGGCUCUACCUCAAGCAAAGACUCUAUGCCCUGAAGAUGGAGGAAGGUACACCUGUUUCCCAGCACCUGGAUAAAUUCAAUUCCAUUAUCAUGGAUUUGAAUAAUAUCGAUAACAAAAUCGAUGAUGAGGACCAAGCAAUAAUUGUUUUGUGUUCUUUGCCUCCCUCGUAUGAGAAUUUUGUUGAUACAAUGAUGUACGGUCGUGAUGACCUGACUCUAGAGGAGGUGAAAAAUGCCUUAAGUUCCAGUGAGUUGAGGAAGAAAAUCACUGGUAAGGUGGUCGAAAACAAUGAAGGCGAAGGCUUGGUUGCUCGAGGAAGAUCCAAGGCAAAGGGUGGAAGUUCAAGUAAAAGCCAUCCUAGAUCGCAGUCCAAGAAGAGAAUACAGUGCUACUACUGUAAGAAGUACGGGCACAUGAAGGUAGAUUGUCCGAAAAGGAAGGAGAAAUCAGAAUCACAGGAGCAACAAAAUGAUCGUGCGAAUGUAGCUGAUGCAGAUUCUUCAAGUGAUGCCGAGAUCGUUCUUGCAGUAUCCGACUCUUACGCUGGUGGGAGAUGGAUUCUUGAUACGGGAGCUACAUUUCAUAUAAGUACUUCGAAAGAUGCAUUCUCAACAUACGAGAAGCAUUCUGGUUCAGUACUAAUGGGAAAUGACCACGCAUGUCAAGUCAUGGGGAUUGGCACAGUUCGUAUAAAGAUGUUUGACGGUAUUGUUAGAACUCUAACUGAUGUUCGGCACAUUCCAGAAAUGAAGAAAAAUUUGAUCUCUUUGAGUACGUUGGACAAGAAAGGCUUUCGGUACUCUGCUGAAGGUGGAGUUCUCAAGGUAUUCUCGGGUGCUUUGACUGUGAUACGUGGUAAUUUGGAGCGGGGCCUUUACUUCCUCAAUGGUUCCUCGGUUACAGGUGUUGCGGGAGUGUCAUCAUCAGAUGAUCUAGAUUCUGACACCACGAAGUUAUGGCAUAUGCGGCUCGGGCAUAUGAGCGAGAGAGGCUUAUCGGUGCUAAGCAAACGAGGAUUAUUGUCUGGGCAGUGUACAGGAAAGUUGAAUUUCUGUGAGCACUGCGUCUUCGGUAAGCAGACUCGGGUAAAGUUCAGCACUGGGAUUCACAAGACAAAAGGCACAGUGGAUUACUUCCAUUCUGACCUUUGGGGGCCUUCUCCGACAAUUUCUAAAGGUGGUUACAGAUAUCUGCUUACCUUUAUCGAUGAUUACUCGAGAAAGGUUUGGGUGUAUUUUCUGAAGAGAAAGUAUGAGGUUCUCAUCAACUUCAAGCAAUUUAAAGCUUUGAUCGAAAAUCAAACAGGAAAGAAGAUCAAGCGAUUCCGGACGGAUAAUGGCUUGGAGUUUUGCUCAGGUGAAUUCAAUGAGUUCUGCAAGAAUGAAGGAAUAGUGAGACACCGCACUGUUCGUCGAACACCACAACAAAAUGGAGUUGCAGAACGCAUGAAUAGAACUCUCUUGGAGCGAGCUCGUUGCAUGCGAUCAAAUGCUGGGCUCGGUGAAGAAUUUUGGGCUGAAGCUGUUAAUACUGCUUGUUAUUUGGUUAACAGAUCUCCGUCAACAGCUAUUGAGCUGAAGACUCCUGAGGAAGUAUGGUCUGGUUCUCCUGCUGAUUACUCUGGUUUAAGAGUGUUUGGCUGCCCUGCGUAUGCUCAUGUAAAUGAGGGAAAACUCAAACCGAGGGCGAAGAAAUGCAUAUUUCUUGGAUACGGCCAAGGGGUGAAAGGAUACAGGUUGUGGUGUCCUGAUCCGGUUUCGUCCAAGUUCAUCAUCAGCAGAGAUGUGACUUUUGAUGAGUCAUCCAUGCUUCGAUCCACCACAAAUUCCCGGGAAAAGGAGGAGUCAGAUAGAAUGGGAGAUCACGGUGUUGAGAAGCAGGUGGAGUGUCAGGUGGACGCUCCAAUUCCUACGGAAGGUACUUCAGUCCAGGAUGAUCAAGUUGAGGUGCAAGAUUCCGAUGAAGAUGAGUCACCUCAAGAAAAACCAUAUAGCAUUGCCACUGGAAGAACGAAGAGACAAAUCAAACCAAAUCCGCGUUACGCUAAUCUGGUGUCUUUCGCGCUCAGUGUGGCGGAGUCCAUUGGUAUAGAACCUUCCAGUUAUAAUGAGGCUGUCACGUGUGAUGAGUCGGCACAGUGGGCAAUUGCUAUGAGUGAGGAGAUAGAAUCUCUUCACAAGAACCAUACUUGGGAGUUGGUUAAGCCGCCAAGUAACCAGAAGAUAGUUGGUUGCAAAUGGGUCUUCAAGAAAAAGGAAGGCAUCCUAGGGGUUGAAGCAACUAGAUUCAAGGCACGAUUGGUUGCUAAAGGCUUCACUCAGAAAGAGGGGGUUGACUACAAUGAAGUUUUCUCCCCAGUCGUAAAGCAUUCUUCCAUUCGUAUAUUACUUGCCAUGGUGGCCAAGUCUGAUCUAGAACUUGAGCAGCUUGACGUAAAAACGGCGUUCUUGCAUGGUGAGCUCGAGGAAACAAUCUACAUGCGUCAACCAGAGGGUUUUACAGUUCCUGGUAAAGAAGACCAUGUCUGUCUAUUAAAGAAGUCUUUAUAUGGAUUGAAACAAUCCCCAAGGCAGUGGUACAAGCGGUUUGAUAGCUUCAUGAUUCAGCAUGGUUACACAAGAUGUGACUAUGAUGCUUGUGUCUAUCAUCGGAAGCUCUCAGAUGGUUCGCACAUUUAUUUGUUGCUGUAUGUUGAUGACAUGUUAAUUGCUUCCAAAAACAUGUCGGAAAUCAACAAGUUAAAGUCGCAGUUGAGUGGUGAGUUCGAGAUGAAGGAUCUGGGUGCUGCCAAGAAAAUUUUGGGCAUGGAUAUUCACAGAGAUCGCAAGGCGGGCAAGCUUCGUGUGUCGCAGAAGAACUACAUUGAAAAGGUUCUUCAACGCUUCGGCAUGGAUAAAGCGAAAACUGUGAGUACUCCGUUGGCACCACAUUUCAAACUCUCUGCAGAGUUGUCACCACAAUCUGAUGAAGAAAAGCAGCAAAUGUCUCACAUUCCAUACUCGAGUGCAGUUGGAAGCGUGAUGUAUGCAAUGGUUUGCACUCGUCCAGACAUUUCACAUGCAGUUAGUGUGGUCAGCAGAUACAUGAGUUGUCCUGGCAAGGAACACUGGCAGGCCGUGAAAUGGAUUCUCAGGUACUUGAGAGGUUCUGCAGAUUUAUGCUUGGUAUAUGAUCAGAGUGACUGCACUAGCAGUGUCACGGGCUAUGCGGACUCUGAUUAUGCUGGAGAUCUGGACAAAAGAAGAUCUCUGACGGGUUAUGUUUUCACUUAUUCUGGAGGAGCCAUUAGUUGGAAAGUUGUGUUACAGUCUACCGUAGCCUUAUCUACGACUGAGGCGGAAUAUAUGGCGUUAGCAGAAGCAGUGAAAGAAGCAUUGUGGAUGAAAGGUCUAGUAAGCAGUUUGGGUUUACAACAGGAUUUCACUGUUGUAUUUUGCGAUAGCCAGAGUGCCAUACAUCUGACUAAAAAUCAGAUGUUUCAUGAACGGACCAAACACAUUGAUGUCAGAUAUCAUUUUGUUCGGGAACAUGUUACGCAAGGUGACAUUGUUAUCAGCAAGGUUGCUACCGAGAAGAAUCCUGCAGAUAUGUUAACUAAGGUGAUCCCUGCAUAUAAGUUCAAGCAUUGCUUGGACUUGAUAGGUAUUCGGGAUUGAUUAGCGCCAGAGAGGCGUUUGGAAGAGGUGAUCCAGUUCACUAUGAUGUUCAGCUUGGUAAAUUUCAAGCCAAGGUGGAGAUUUGUUAAGAAAUGGCUUAAAAUUGGUAGUGGAUUGUUGUUGUUGGUAGUGGGUUGUUGGUGGUAGUGGAUUAGUGGAUGGUUGUUGGUGUCCAUUUUCAACCACAAAUCUUUGCCAAAGUUUUGGACAAUUAUGUCCUUGAACUCUCUUAUAAAUAGAGAGGUUCAUUAGCCAUAUUAAUCAUCCCAAACCAAGAGAGAGCAAAGCUUGUUCUUUGAAAGCUAGGAUUUUAGCUUUCGGGUUUU
This 4877-nucleotide long non-coding RNA is filed under the name Gossypium barbadense (sea-island cotton). RNAcentral's name for it is "long non-coding RNA (GBAR_LNC017965)". The record is from RNAcentral. Lineage: Eukaryota; Viridiplantae; Streptophyta; Magnoliopsida; Malvales; Malvaceae.